This is a non-coding RNA of Podarcis lilfordi (Lilford's wall lizard), 6342 nucleotides long. The record is from the annotation of a GenBank genome assembly. NCBI's taxonomy places the organism in Eukaryota, Metazoa, Chordata, Lepidosauria, Squamata, Lacertidae.
CGGGUAACACAAUCUGAUGCUGGAGGGCUACUAGAUUGAAGCCGUUGGGCGCUGUGAGGAACAAGACAUUGGAGUAGAUAAACUGUUUAUCUGAUCCUGUUGGACCCUUCUGAUGUCCAGUUUGUCAGGUGUGUGUGUGUGUUUGUGUGUGUAAGAAAUAAGGAUGAGGAAAGGUUAACAACAGGAAGAUUUAAAGGAACUAUUGGAAAGACUAUUCAAGGCAGCAGAGAUAUGAGAUGAUCAGAGCCCCCGAACUUGAAGCAUGGGAAGUCCCAACAAAAAAAUUAUAAUUUAGGCAGAAUAGUUGGACUAUUUGAUAUGUAUUUGUAUAAUCUGGAAUCCUUAUUUAAGGCAUACCCCCCAAAGAAUCCUGGGAGCUAUAGUUUACUCCCCAGAAAGCUGCAAUCCUGAACACUGUUAACAAAGUACAGUUACUGUGUUGUUUUUUUGGGGGGGGGGUUGGAGUGAGAAUCUCCUUUAAAUGUGCUUUAAAUGUAUGACUCGUAUGCAAGAUAAUUAAUCUGGGAUCUUAGGGCAGGAUUUGCUGCUGUUUUAGGAGUUUUCUGUAAGUAAAAAAACAAACCCCUGCACCCUCCCCAUCCAAAUUGCCCGUGAUGGAGCAGAACGGUGCGCCAUAUGAUCAGUUUCCCAUUCCAUGUCCUUAACAUCUGCUUGAACAACCAAGCGACUUUCAGGAAAUAGAUCAUCCUUAAGCAAACAGUUUUAGACAACACAGGCUCCCGUCCAACUAUCUUUCCUAUCACGGGCAAUUACCAAGACGUUUUAAGGUGAUGUGGAAGGCUGCUCUGCCAGGGCUGACUUCUGGAGCUGGAGAGCUGGGCAUAUGACGUCGUCUUCUAGACCAGGGACAAGGAACUGCAGGCUUGGUAGUCAAAUGGAGUCCUCCAGACCUCUCCAUUUGGCCCCCAGGACUUUGCUCAGCCACACCCCUUCUCCCCAGGCCACACCCCUCCUGCCUCUUGUUCACCUGCAUGAAGGACUAAUCAGCCUUCAUGGGAGGUGUUCUAACGCUGCUUGGAUGGGCCUGCUAGCUGCUCCAGCAAGUGGUAGUAUGAUUUGUGUACAGCAUGUGAGUGUCUGAGAGAGCUUGAGAUAGGAAGUCUGUAUAAUAAUAAUAAUAAUAAUAAUAAUUUAUUUAUAACCCUGCCCAUCCGGCUGAGUUUCCCCAGCCACUCUGGGCAGCUUCCAAUUGAGUGUUAAAAACAAUACAGCAUUAAAUAUUAAAAACUUCCCUAAACAGGGCUGCCUUCAGAUGUCUUUUAAAGGUAAGAUAGCUGCUUAUUUCCUUCACAUCUGAAGGGAGGGCAUUCCACAGGGCGGGUGCCACUACCGAGAAGGCCCUCUGCCUGGUUCCCUGUAACUUGGCUUCUUGCAAUGAGGGAACCGCCAGAAGGCCCUCGGCGCUGGAUCUCAGUGUCCGGGCUGACGAUGGGGGUGGAGACGCUCCUUCAGGUAUACAGGACCGAGGCCGUUUAUCUCUUCCUUCUGAGUACUAUUGGAAGUUAGUUUCACUUCUGUGUGUGUCGCAGUUCUGUACUGCUGUUCAGAGAGCACAGACAUACUGAUGGAGUCUCUGUACACAAGACUGUAAAUAAAGUAGUUUAGAACUACAAUUGAGUCUUUCUUCUGCUAUGAUAUACCAGAAGACUGGUGUGCUCUUUUCAGGAGAGAAGGGUCACUUAUUACCGGUCUCUCUGGACUGAGGGAGAUUUACACCCAGGGAGGACCACCAGAGAGAUGCUCCGAGGACUUGGGAAGUUGGCAGCCUUCCCGGGGGGGGGGGGGGAGAUUUUUCCAACAGGGCCACCAGUCAGGGAUUAUUCAGCUGUGACUCCUGCAUUGCAGGGGCUCAGGCUAGAAGACCUCUGAGGUGCCUUCCAACUCUGUAAUUCUAGUAUGCUAUGAUCGGGGUAUGUACAACUGGUUUAUGCAAUCCUUGAUAGUAGGGUCUUUAUUUAAAAAUAUUUUUUAUUGAUUUUUCCGUGUAUACUUCUUCUAACAAUAUAUCUUUAACAAUUUUUCAUAUUUCGACCCUCCUCCCCUGGACUUCCCCCAUACUCCUGUUUUGUUUUAUUUCCAUAUUAUUCACCCUGCGUAUUAUUUCCCCAAAAUUUUCUCAAUACAUACAGUCUUAUUUUUUUGUUGUAUACAGUUGUGAUUGUUUACUCAAACCCUGCCAAUGAGUCCAUUUCUUUAUUUUGCCUCUUCAUAUAUGUUGUGAAUGGGAAGCAUUUACAAUGCUACUGGUUUCUUAACAAAGGUCUUUUUAAACAUUUUUUUUCAAUUCAUUAUAUAUCAUUUUCCAAUAAUUUAUAAUCUUUUUUGCAUUCCCACCACAUAUGAGAGAAUGCCCCAUCUUUUUCUUUACAUUUCCAACAAGUUUUUGAUCCCUUUUUAUAUAUUUUGACCACUUUCUCUGGUGUUAUAUACCAUCUAUACAUCAUUUUCAUAUAAUUCUCUUUCAAUAAGAUACAAUCUGUAAAUUUUAGGUUCACCUUCCACAUCUUUUCCCAAUCUUCAAGUUGUAUAUAAUGACCUAAAUCCUGACCCCACUUUAUUUGUGCUGACUUUACCACCUGACAGUAGGGUCUGACUUUCAGGACCUCGGAGAGCUCCAAGGAUGUCCAGGUGUUCGCUGUAGGAACAUCGGAAACGACUUUCUUUUCUUUUUUAAUAAUAAUAUUUAUUCAGAAACGACUUUCUACUGAGUCAGAUCCUAGGUUCUUUCAGCUCAGUAUUGUCUACACUGACUGGCAGAGGCCCUGCAGGGUUUCAAGGAGUAGGUAGGUCCCCAUCCUAUCUGGAGAUGAAAUUGGGUUGAACCUAGGACUUUCUGCAUGCAAAUCAGGUCCUCUAAGCCACUGAGUUAUGGCCUCUUCUCCUGAGAAGUCAGCAUGUGUAGCAUGUUUUCAUCUGAAGAGAUGGACCCACCUCUCAGAAUCCUCACCCCCACGAGCUCAAGGCUGAAAGUGGUUCUAGCUAAAAGUCAGCUAUAUCCUCCGUGGAAAAACAUCACAUACAUCCACCCCCUUUCAUGGAACAGGAAAAUGCCUCUGGACUCUGCUACCUUGUCAGGACUUGGAUGGAGAUCUCGCCUGCAAAGAGAGCUGUGUGCAUUUACAGCGGUUGCUCUGCAAUAAAUAAAUAAGUAAAUAAAAUUGGGGAAAGUGCCAGGGGUGGAGGGGGGAGAGAGGGAGAACCUCCUUUCAUCGCCUCCCCACUGACUCCGGCAAACAGGCUUCCUAGGAACAAAUAGAGCAUUCAAUUUGUUUUUCCAGGAGCAAGCUGUUUCCAUCUCUCAGCAGAAAUAAUUAAGGAUAAAACACAGCAUCCUACCUUUCUGCUCGCUGACUAUCCCUGCUGCAGAAGAAAUGUGGAAACACAGAAUUGGAAGGGGACCCAAUGGGUUAUCUAGCCCAACCCCUGCAAUGCAAAGUCUGAGCCAGAAGCAAGGGAAGCUUUCUUCCAACCUGAGAACUGCAUUCCCUGAUUGCCAGCCUUCCAGGGGCCAUGUACAAUUGACAAAGAGGGGCCAGAGGCAAAAGCAGGGGUGACAAAAGUUGCUUUUGUACAGUACUCAAAGCUAUGGUUUUUCCCAGUAGUGAUGCAUGGAAGUGAGAGCUGAACCAUAAAGAAGACUGAUCACCGAAGAAUUGAAGCUUUUGAAUUAUGGUGCUGGAGGAGACUGUUGAGAGUCCCAUGGACUGCAAAAAGAUCAAACCUAUCCAUUCUGAAGGAAAUCAGCCCACUGGAAGGACAGAUCCUGAAGCUGAGACUCCAAUACUUUGGUCACCUCAUGAGAAGAGAAGACUCCCCGGAAAAGACCCUGAUGUUGGGAAAGAUUGAGGGCACAAGGAGAAGGGGAUGACAGAGGAGAAGGUGGUUGGACAGUGUUCUUGAAGCUACCAGCAUGAGUUUGACCAAACUGCGGGAGGCAGUGGAAGACAGGAGUGCCUGGUGUGCUCAUAGGGACACGAAGAGUUGGACACAACUAAAUGACUAAACAACAACAACAAGUUUGUAUAGCGCAUGGGUAGGCAAACUAAGGCCUGGGGGCCGGAUCUGGCCCAAUCACCUUCUAAAUCUGGCCCCUGGACGGUCUGGGAAUCAGUGUGUUUUUACAUGAGUAGAAUGUGUCCUUUUAUUUAAAAUGCAUCUCUGGGUUAUUUGCGGGGCAUAGGAAUUCAUUCAUCCCAACCCCCCAAAAAAUAUAGCCCACCCCCCCAAGGUCUGAGGGACAGUGGACCAGCCCCCUGCUGAAAAAGUUUGCUGACCCCUGGUAUAGUGGGUUUAGAGAACUGUGGGGGGGGGGGGGAAUCAGGUAGUACAGUCAUAUCUCAGGUUACAGCCGCUUCAGGUUGUGAUUUUUCGGGUUGCGGACCUCCGAAACCCAGAAGUACUGGAACGGGUUGCUUCCAGGUUUCUGCAGUUGUGCAUUCACAGAAGUGCUAAGUUGUGCUUUGCGCAUGUGCAGAAGUGGUUAAAUCGCAGCCCUCGUGUGCGCAGACACGCAGACAUGGGUUGUGAAUGCUGCGGGUUGCGAACAUGCAUCCUACACAGAUCACGUCCGCAACCCGAGCGUCCACUGUAUAUGGGAAGAUGAGUCUAAAAAGUCCAGGACACCAAUUUUGACAGCCCUCUAGCAGCUGUGGUGCCUCAUUUACCAGAAGUAAUGUAUUUAGCAUUAACUCCGGAAGUGUAAACUCAAUUCUGACCUCCUAGAGUAAAACACACAUCAGGAGGCUUAGUUUUACAAAUCUGUGGUGUGACCUCACUUGGCAUAAUGCUGUGUGCAGUUCUGGUUGCCACCUCUCAAAAGGGAUAUUGUGUAAUUGUACAAGGUUCUGAAAAGGGCAAAGGAAAUAUCAAAGGGAUGGAGGGACUCCCCUAGGAAGGAACGUUGCUGUGUUUGGGGCUUCUUAAAGGUAAAGCUAAAGGGACCCCUGACCAUUAGGUCCAGUCGUGACCCACUCUGGGGUUGCAGUGCUCAUCUCACUUUAUUGGCCAAGGGAGCCGGCGUACAGCUUCCGGGUCAUGUGGCCAGCAUGACUAAGCUGCUUCUGGCGGACCAGAACAGCGAACGGAAACGCCGUUUACCUUCCCACCGGGGUGGUACCUAUUUAUCUACUUGCACUUUGACGUGCUUUUGAACUGCUAGGUAGGCAGGAGCUGGGACUGAGCAAUGGGAGCGCACCCUGUCACGGGGAUUCGAACCGCUGACCUUCUGAUCGGCAAGUCCUAGGCUCUGUGGUUUAGACCAGUGCCACCCGCGUCAUAGCUUAGAGUAAAAGCGAGUCAGAGGCGACAUGCCAGUAGUAUAUGAAAUUAUGGAAUGGAGAAAAUGGAGAGAGAAGUUUUUCUCCCUCUCUCAUGGUGCUAAAACUUGUGGUCAUGCAAUGAAGCCAAAUGUUGGACAGAUAAGAUAAAGGAGUUAAACUGUGGUACUCCCUCCCACAGGACCGGCCACCAACUUAGAUGGCUACUACUCUUGAUGGCUCUGCUCUGACUCUACCAUCGAGGACAGCAAUGCUUCUGAAUACCAGUUGUUGGACACCACAGGAGAAUUCUUGUGCUCGAAUCCUGCUUAGGGGUCUCCCACAGGCCUUUGAUUGGCCACUGUGAAACCAGGAUGCUGCGCUAGAUGGGUCAUUGGCUCUUGUGAUGUUCCGGUUCCCUCCUUCCUGCCCUCAAAGGAAACCAGCCAGCCAGCCUACCUGCCAAUCACCCCGCAACUUUCACAAAGCCACGGCACUGUAAUCACUCACCCUCCCAAUCGCCGUGGCUUUCCGGGGGACACAAGGGUGGGCGAGGAUCCUGCUGCCCAGCUGAAUUAGAGAUGGCUCCUCUCAAGCCACCCUUGGCGUGACCGCCACCCCCGCCCCUCUGCCCCUAGACAUCGCGGGAAGUCGCCGGGCAGGGUUUUAACGUCUCAUUUUCUUAACGGGAACCGGCAGGCGGGACCCCAGCAGGGACUCCGGCUUGUCAGAGUCAAUCAGGUUGGCUUGGGGAAGUGCGGAGAGCAUCUGUAAUUCAUCAACCCCAAGCCUGUCCCGGGUGACGGGUUUUUCACUCAUCGGAGCACAGUGCUUUCCUCCGGACGAGGAUCGAGCUGACAGCCGCGGUGGCGGAAAGAGCAUCAUUGCCACCAGGGACGGCUGCUAAUUAGUCUACAAGAUCUUUACACCCCCAACCCCACGCGCACACACAACCAGUCUUGCAUACAGAGGAGGUUCAGCAAGCUGGCUUCCCAGAGCAUUCUGGGGGGUGGAAGAGAUCAAACAUGUCUCCUUCAAGACAUCCCAUGAAAAGUGCCACCAAGGA